AUUGAACGCUGGCGGCGGGCCUAACACAUGCAAGUCGAACGAGUGGCGGACGGGUGAGUAAUGUUUGGGAAACUGCCCGAUGGAGGGGGAUCACUACUGGAAACGGUAGCUAAUACCGCAUACCAUCGGAUGUGCCCAGGUGGGAUUAGCUAGUUGGUGGGGUAACGGCUCACCUAGGCGACGAGCCCUAGCUGGUCUGAGAGGAGGACCAGCCACACUGGAACUGAGACACGGUCCAGACUCCUACGGGAGGCAGCAGUGGGGAAUAUUGCACAAUGGGGGCAAGCCUGAUGCAGCCAUGCCGCGUGUAGGAAGAAGGCCUUCGGGUUGGAAAGUACUUUCAGCGAGGAGGCGUUACUCGCAGAAGAAGCACCGGCUAACUCCGUGCCAGCAGCCGCGGUAAUAC
RNAcentral lists this ribosomal RNA (406 nucleotides) under uncultured bacterium. RNAcentral describes it as "partial 16S ribosomal RNA". It matches the Rfam family "Bacterial small subunit ribosomal RNA", at positions 29 to 526 of the family's 1533-position model. The record is from RNAcentral.